Long non-coding RNA from Helianthus annuus (common sunflower), 585 nucleotides. RefSeq lists it as uncharacterized. NCBI's taxonomy places the organism in Eukaryota, Viridiplantae, Streptophyta, Magnoliopsida, Asterales, Asteraceae. The transcript has 3 exons. The record is from RefSeq and is a predicted model, not a curated record.
CUUUUUCUUCAUUUGAACCCUUAUACAGCCGACACACACCCUUUCAUCUUCAUUCUCUCCUCUCUAAAACAAAACCCUAGCCCCUUACCACUCAAGAAUCACACCCCUCGUCUCUCUCUGAUACGGGUCCGGCAACCGAAGAAGCUCCGGCCGGCGACGGUUUGGGUUUACGGCGGCAGUAACGCGUAGGAGAGAGAGAGAGAGAGUUAGAGAGAGAGAACUGACGGAGCGAGAGAGAGAAGGACGGCGACGGCGACUCACGGCGGAACCGUCAGUCUGACGAGUAGCAGCGGCAACGAUAACCUCCGGGUAGCUACAGUCCUGGAUCAAGUCAAGGAAACGCUCUCUCACGACAAUAGUUCAGAUCACGGGCCGAAGACCCCAGCUACUGUUUCUUCAAUCCUUAUAGAAUUGCACCGAAGCUGUAAAGGAUUCGCGAGUGCUGGAUUUUGGAGGAGCAACGAUUAGCAUUCAUUAGUGAAUAAUGGCGAUUUUGUAAUUUAAAUGUGCUUCGAAUUUAUAUUAUUUGUUUUUGUUAAAUUUAUGUACCGAAUCAUAUUUAUCAUUAUGCAUUUUUAGCAGGAA